GACGAACGCUGGCGGCGUGCUUAACACAUGCAAGUCGAACGAAGAGCGAUGGAAGCUUGCUUCUAUCAAUCUUAGUGGCGAACGGGUGAGUAACGCGUAAUCAACCUGCCCUUCAGGGGGGGACAACAGUUGGAAACGACUGCUAAUACCGCAUACGAUCUGACCUCGGCAUCGAGGAUAGAUGAAAGGUGGCCUCUAUUUAUAAGCUAUCACUGAAGGAGGGGAUUGCGUCUGAUUAGCUAGUUGGAGGGGUAACGGCCCACCAAGGCGAUGAUCAGUAGCCGGUCUGAGAGGAUGAACGGCCACAUUGGGACUGAGACACGGCCCAGACUCCUACGGGAGGCAGCAGUGGGGAAUCUUCCGCAAUGGACGAAAGUCUGACGGAGCAACGCCGCGUGAGUGAUGACGGCCUUCGGGUUGUAAAGCUCUGUUAAUCGGGACGAAAGGCCUUCUUGCGAAUAGUUAGAAGGA
RNAcentral lists this ribosomal RNA (471 nucleotides) under Veillonella dispar. RNAcentral describes it as "bacterial SSU rRNA". It matches the Rfam family "Bacterial small subunit ribosomal RNA", at positions 28 to 476 of the family's 1533-position model. The record is from RNAcentral. Lineage: Bacteria; Bacillati; Bacillota; Negativicutes; Veillonellales; Veillonellaceae.